Molecule: ribosomal RNA, 497 nt
Filed under: uncultured bacterium
Lineage: Bacteria
Description: partial 16S ribosomal RNA
Rfam family: Bacterial small subunit ribosomal RNA
Source: RNAcentral
GACGAACGCUGGCGGCGUGCCUAAUACAUGCAAGUUGAGCGCUGAAGGUUGGUACUUGUACCGACUGGAUGAGCAGCGAACGGGUGAGUAACGCGUGGGGAAUCUGCCUUUGAGCGGGGGACAACAUUUGGAAACGAAUGCUAAUACCGCAUAAAAACUUUAAACACAAGUUUUAAGUUUGAAAGAUGCAAUUGCAUCACUCAAAGAUGAUCCCGCGUUGUAUUAGCUAGUUGGUGAGGUAAAGGCUCACCAAGGCGAUGAUACAUAGCCGACCUGAGAGGGGGAUCGGCCACAUUGGGACUGAGACACGGCCCAAACUCCUACGGGAGGCAGCAGUAGGGAAUCUUCGGCAAUGGACGAAAGUCUGACCGGGCAACGCCGCGUGAGGGAAGAAGGUUUUCGGAUCGUAAAAAUCUGUUGGUAGGGAAGAACGUUGGUGGGAGUGGAAAGCGCAUCAAGUGACGGUAACUACCCAGAAAGGGACGGCUAACUACGUG